GUGAAUCAUCAAAUUUUUGAACGCAAAUUGCGCCUUUUUCGGAAGGCAUGUCUGUUUGAGGGCACCAUUUAACAAAUAAUGUGCAGCGUUUUGUGUAUAUAUGACGUGCACACGUUGAUGAGCUUUCCAAGAAUUUUAAAUUUUUGGUGGCGCAUAAUGAACAGCGUGAAAGUCUUUUUCAUUUCGAGUGUAGUAAAAUCUUUUCUUGGGUUGUGAAAAAACAUAAUCGCACAAAGGGGUUGGCAAUUUCUGUUUAUCCCUGCCCCAAUGCCA
RNAcentral lists this unclassified non-coding RNA (273 nucleotides) under Paraglomerales sp. RNAcentral's name for it is "partial contains 5.8S ribosomal RNA and internal transcribed spacer 2". The stretch from base 1 to 65 matches the Rfam family "5.8S ribosomal RNA", at positions 84 to 154 of the family's 154-position model. The record is from RNAcentral. Lineage: Eukaryota; Fungi; Glomeromycota; Glomeromycetes; Paraglomerales.